RNAcentral lists this ribosomal RNA (252 nucleotides) under uncultured bacterium. Its description in RNAcentral is "partial 16S ribosomal RNA". It matches the Rfam family "Bacterial small subunit ribosomal RNA", at positions 524 to 775 of the family's 1533-position model. The record is from RNAcentral.
UACGAAGGGGGCGAGCGUUGUUCGGAUUUACUGGGCGUAAAGGGCGCGUAGGCGGCCCUCUUUGUCGCGUGUGAAAGCCCCGGGCUCAACCUGGGAAUUGCGCGCGAAACGGGGGGGCUUGAGUUCGGGAGAGGAGCGUGGAAUUCCCAGUGUAGAGGUGAAAUUCGUAGAUAUUCGCAAGAACACCAGUGGCGAAGGCGGCUCACUGGCCCGGAACUGACGCUGAGACGCGAAAGCGUGGGGAGCAAACAG